Long non-coding RNA from Bombus terrestris (buff-tailed bumblebee), 929 nucleotides. RefSeq lists it as uncharacterized. Lineage: Eukaryota; Metazoa; Arthropoda; Insecta; Hymenoptera; Apidae. The record is from RefSeq and is a predicted model, not a curated record. The transcript has 4 exons.
UGGGCAAACUAUAAAUAAUAUUUUUUACUACAAUAUACAUAUACUUAUAAUUUUUAUAUUUUAUUUGUUACAAAAGAAUGUUUUGUAAUUACAUCGUAUCAAGAGUACCUACAUUAAUCAAAUUUUUAUUCGUGAAUGCCUUAUAUCAUCGAAAACUUAAUACAAGAUAUCCUUUAAUGAGAAUGUAAGUAUACAUAACUUAGGUGAUAAAUGACAAAUGUUGGUAAAAGAAGAUGUAAAACCAGUUAAUUUUGUUUCAAUAAGAAUUCAAAAUAUGGGAGGAAAUGUUCAUUAUGUGGCUGAGAAAAGACUUACAAGAGAUGGCUAAGAAAUUGAUUCAAAAGUAAAUUGAGCAUAGAAAGUAAAGCAUUAAAAAGACCAGAGGAUCAAGGGAAUGAAUGCAUGGAAACUGGAGAUAUAAAAUAUAAGAAAAAUCCUUAAACAUUCCAAAUAUAACAAAUUCAUCUACCAAAGAUACUUAACAAAUUACUUUUAAUAACAAAUAUUGAAGGAAAUGUACAACAAGAAUUAAAUUUAAAAUAAGGAGAUGUUUUGUUUUUAACUUGUGGAGAAAAGAUUCGCAUGGUUAGAGAAUUACAUUAUGAUUUGGUUAUGAAUGGUUUUGAGACUGCAGGAGGACCAGAAGUAACAAAUCAAAAUUACAAAUAGAAAUAUCUUAAAUGCUAAAUAUAGAUGAAUUAUUUAGAAUCUGUUAUUCCACUUCAUGGUGGAAUUGCUAUCUGUAUUUUAUUUUUAAUUCAAAUAUCAGCAAUAUCGAGUAACAUUGAAUUAUAGUAAAAAGAUAUUAAGAAACUUCUCAAGAUUGAAUUGUUUAAUAUGUUUAAUCCACAAUACCAAAACUAUAAAAAACAAUGAAGCAAGAUUUAAUAUCAAGAGUACUUUUGAGGAAAUAAAAAGAUUUUGUCAUA